Molecule: ribosomal RNA, 250 nt
Filed under: uncultured bacterium
Lineage: Bacteria
Description: partial 16S ribosomal RNA
Rfam family: Bacterial small subunit ribosomal RNA
Source: RNAcentral
GUGCCAGCAGCCGCGGUAAUACGUAGGAAGCGAGCGUUAUCCGGAUUUACUGGGCGUAAAGCGCGCGCAGGCGGCUUUGCAAGUCGUGCGUGAAAGCUCCCGGCUCAACCGGGAGAGGUCGUGCGAUACUGCAAGGCUUGAGGUCAAGAGAGGAGAGCGGAAUUCCCGGUGUAGCGGUGAAAUGCGUAGAUAUCGGGAGGAAUACCAGUGGCGAAGGCGGCUCUCUGGCUUGCACCUGACGCUGAGGCGC